UUACCUGGUUGAUCCUGCCAGUGAUUAUAUGCUUGUCUCAAAGCUUAAGCCAUGCAAGUCUAAGUUCAGACUCGUUCCUUUCGGGGAGCGCGAUCGAGACUGUGAACGGCUCAUUAGUCAGACGAGGUUCCUUGGUUCCUAUCGGGUCCGUAAAAUGGAUAACUGUGGUAAUUCUAGAGCUAAUACAUGCUACGCACGCAACCCCGCUCGAAGGGGUGCAGGUAUUUAUUCUCUACAAUGACCGCCCGAGCUCUUCAAUUGAAUUUUUAAUUCAGGAGAGUGCCGUGGGUAAGUGUUGAAAUCUGAUUAACUUUGUCGAUCACGCAAGUGACUCCAUCAUGAAGUGUCUGUCCCAUCAAUUGACGAUGGUCGGCGCCCUGCCUACCACGGUGACGACGGGUAACGGGGAAUCAGGGUUCGAUUCCGGAGAGGGAGCCUGCGAAACGGCUACCACCUCCAAGGAGGGCAGCAGGCGCGCAACUUACCCAAUCCCGACUCGGGGAGGUAGUGACGAAAAAUAUCGCGGCGGGACUGUAAAUUGGUCACCGCGGGCGGAAUGAGCGCAAUUUAAAAGAGUGUACGAGGAGCUAUUGGAGGGCAAGCCUGGUGCCAGCAGCCGCGGUAAUUCCAGCUCCAAUAGCCUAUAUCGGAGUUGCUGCGGUUAAAAAGCUCGUAGUUGGAUCUCGGAGACGGCACGGUUGGACGCGAUACGCUGCGGGUCCGACCGGCUUGCUAAAUUGGCCGUCCCUAUUCCGCGUUCGGGGCGGUGGGAUACCUUGAUGUAUUCCUCGUUCUUUCGUGAUGAGUUUUCACACGGAAACCCGGCGCAAAUUAUGUCUACCUUGAAAAAAUUAGAGUGCUAAAGGCAGGCGAAUCCCCCGAGCCAGAAUAUUUCGUGCAUGGAAUUAACGGGGAGACUCCGCAGGAGGGUGGUUCGGCCGUCGGGCGACGUCGCUUUCGCUGUCGGCUUUUGCUGCGGAGUUAAGGAUUUCGAGAGGAACGGCGGGGGGCCAGCGUACCGGCCGGGUAGAGGUGAAAUUUUGUGAUCCGCUCGGGACGUCUCGAAGCGAAGGCGCUGGCCCCGGACGUCUUCCUUAAUCCAGAACGAAGGUGGGUGGAGCAAAGACGAUCAGAUACCGUCGUAGUACCGACGGUAAACUCUGCCAACCGGGCCGCGGACGAGGCUCGAGAACAGCGGUUAUGGACCCGUCCGUGGCGGCUUCGGGAAACCUGAGAGUGUACGGGUUCCGGGGGUAGUAUGGUCGCAAGGCUGAAACUUGAAGGAAUUGACGGAAGGGCACCACAAGGAGUGGAGCCUGCGGCUUAAUUUGACUCAACACGGGACAACUUACUCGGUCCGGACAUCGACAGGAUUGACAGAUGCUUGUGCAGUUCUUUCUCGAUUUGAUGGGUGGUGGUGCAUGGCCGUUCGUGGCUGGUGAAGUGAAAAGUCUGGUUUAUUCCGCUAACGGGCGAGGCCUCGCCUCUAAAUAGUCGGUUUACGGUUCUGGUUAAGUCUGCACUCUGGUGCAGCGACAGAAAUGGUGAGUCGAGGCGGUCGUCGCUACUUCUUAGGGGGAUCCCGAGCAAGCUUAAGCUAGGUGAGAGAGAUCAAUAACAGGUCAGUGAUGCCCUUAGAUGUUCGGGGCCGCACGCGCGCUACACUGAAGGCGAGAGCGCGAAUGUUACGGCCAACAAGGCUUGGAACCUGCCCCGAAAGGGUUUUGAUCGAACUUGUUCGAUCUUGGUGGGUUAACCGUGCUAAUCGGUUUCGUGCUGGGGAUCGGGGCUUGUAACUCAGUCCCGUCAACGAGGAAUUCCGAGUAGGCGCCAGUCAACAGCUGGCGCCGAUUAAGUCCCUGCCUUUUGUACACACCGCCCGUCGCUACCUCCGAUAGAAUGUUUAAGCUAGGUCGUUGGACUGAAUGCUCAAAGGCGGAUGCCGCAAGGCCUAUGCUCAUUAAUGUGUUCUGGAAAGGCAGUCGAGCUUACACAUUUAGAGGAAGUAAAAGUCGUAACAAGGUUUCCGUAGGUGAACCUGCGGAAGGAUCAUUA
This 2055-nucleotide ribosomal RNA is filed under the name Cellana nigrlineata. RNAcentral's name for it is "bacterial SSU rRNA". It matches the Rfam family "Eukaryotic small subunit ribosomal RNA". Lineage: Eukaryota; Metazoa; Mollusca; Gastropoda; Nacellidae. The record is from RNAcentral.